RNAcentral lists this long non-coding RNA (1944 nucleotides) under Anas platyrhynchos platyrhynchos (common mallard). RNAcentral describes it as "lncRNA (ENSAPLG00000020425.1)". Lineage: Eukaryota; Metazoa; Chordata; Aves; Anseriformes; Anatidae. The record is from RNAcentral.
GCACAGAGAGGCCCGGCACACAUACUGGAAGACAGCAUUGGUCCAACAACUGGUCAGUGACAGAGGAGAGGGAGCAACAUUAAAGCAUAUGAAAUAAAUGCGAGCAGCAGCAACGAAUGAAGAAGUAACCGUGUCCCAGGCAGCUGCUGACACGCACAGGAGCGCAGGCUGCUGGAGAUUUUCACUGCCAGGGAUCUGGCAGCAAUCACACUAAAUGUUGUGAGCUGUUGACAGCUGAAGAUGAGCAGCUUAGGCAGAAGGAGAAAUCCUCUGGACUUACAACUGACAAUAGGGGAAGCCCAAAUCUGUCUCUGUUGGAUAUCGUGUAAUGUCCAAGCAGGACCCGAGUCUGAUAUUUGGAUAUGCAGUGGGAUAUGUAGGGGGAAGUAUGAAGUGAAAGGAGGAUUGGAGAGAAGCUAAAGACAAAUGAGAGUCUCUUCACAGCAAUGCAAUCAUAUUCAACAGUGGGCCUAAAUAGAAGAGCCAAGCACCAGGUCUUUCAAGAUAGCAUCCUAAAUGAAACUUGAGAUACCAUUCCAUGAAAGGCUUCAAGAUCUUUGGGAUAAACAGUAUUCUUUAGGCUAUAAAUACUUAUUUUCCUAUAUGAAAAACUACAUGCAUUGUUUGCCCUGUCAGAAAUGUUUUUGUGGCAACUCCUGGACUGCCUUUCCUAAUGGUGUAGAAAAAUAAAAAUAAAAAAUAAAAAUAAAAAAUGGUUUAUCUGGUUUAAAUUGCAAUCUGUCUCUCACCUCAAGUAGUCAAAAAUGUUUUCUCCACCCUACACAGGUCUGCAGCAGAAUUUGAAUGUGAACUGCACCAUAGUUUUCAGCCUUAAGACCUAAGGUGCAGGCCAGGAUAUUUGGAUUUACACCUGACUUCUGCAUGAGAAGCUCACUGCCUAAACCAAGGAUGGGGGAACCAGUCUCCUGGGGCUCUGCAGAAUGGAGGUGAAUGGUCCUACCUGCAUCCCAUACAUCUCUGUGCCCUAGGGGAGACAAGACCAGGGCAGGUGGACACAGGACUGAGUAAUUCACAUUCACCACAGAAAGGUGAUCUGGCUGAAACUGAUGGGUCAGUGUCAGUUACAGAGCACCUGAAACUCAGUACAGGGAGCUGUCCUUUCUCUGGCAGCCGUGCUUGCAGUCAGCACAUGAUCCACUUCGUAGCCAGCUCCUGCCCAGCACCUACCAGUGAUCUGGUGUUUGUCUCAGCUGGUUCUGCUGUGCGAGAAGACAGAGUGGGAUGUCACAGACUGGCUCAUUCCAUCUGUGGCCUUUCUGCUGCCAUCAGCAGCAGGGCUGUGCAUGUCUGUCUGAUCUAGCCUUCUACAAGGAAGAGACAUGAAUCUUUUCAGGAGACUGUGGAUUGGUGUCACUGCAGAAAACAGUUAAACACAUGGACAGAGCUUCUUUGAGGAACAUUUUAUUUCCAGUUAUGUACAUGAAAGAUGUUUUAUAAGAAAGUUGCUGUAGUCACAGCCUAGCAAACCAAACUUAUUAAUUAACUGCACUCUGCACCACUUGCACUUAGCUACGUGCCCUGGCUGACAACACAGCAUUCAGUGCUGGUUUGCAAACAAAUUUAAAUAUUCAGCGCACAGCUUCUGGGAAAGAGGCCAUCUUUCUUCAUGCUGUAGUUUUGGGAUGUAACAUUUAUUAGUGACUUAUGUUUAUUUCUACUGGCUUUGUGAUGCCAGGAGAGUUAGCAGCAUUUUGCAUCCUCUAAAUACAUGUAUAGGAAUGGGGAAGAGAAACAUGAGGGAUGUAGCAGGGGGAGGAAUGUGAAGAGAUGCCUGUGCGAUGAUGGUUGGCAGCACAGCUCUGCGGUCUAGAAAAACAAAUUCUGUUUUGUAGUAAACAUAAAGGUUUUAAAUUCUCUGUAUUGGAAUGGAAAUUAUCUCUACUGAAAAAGUUAAAAAAAUUAAUAAAAACAAAGUCCAUACCA